RNAcentral lists this ribosomal RNA (463 nucleotides) under uncultured bacterium. RNAcentral's name for it is "partial 16S ribosomal RNA". It matches the Rfam family "Bacterial small subunit ribosomal RNA", at positions 28 to 507 of the family's 1533-position model. The record is from RNAcentral.
GAUGAACGCUGACAGAAUGCUUAACACAUGCAAGUCGAUGGGGAAGUGGUGCUUGCACCAUGGUAACCAUGGCGGACGGGUGAGUAACGCGUAAGGAACUUGCCUGCGGGACUGGGAUAACAGCAGGAAACUGCUGAUAAUACCGGAUAAGGUCAUUAAGCUGCAUAGCUUAGUGAUGAAAGGAGACGCCUGCGGAGAGCCUUGCGUCCUAUUAGCUAGUUGGAGGGGUAACGGCCCACCAAGGCGAAGAUAGGUAGCCGGCCUGAGAGGGUGGACGGCCACAAGGGGACUGAGAUACGGCCCUUACUCCUACGGGAGGCAGCAGUGGGGAAUAUUGGACAAUGGGGGCAACCCCGAUCCAGCAAUUCUGUGUGCACGAAGACGGUUUUCGGAUUGUAAAGUGCUUUCAGCAGGGAAGAAGGAAGUGACGGUACCUGCAGAAGAAGCGACGGCUAAAUACGUG